This 466-nucleotide ribosomal RNA is filed under the name uncultured bacterium. Its description in RNAcentral is "partial 16S ribosomal RNA". It matches the Rfam family "Bacterial small subunit ribosomal RNA", at positions 28 to 507 of the family's 1533-position model. The record is from RNAcentral.
GACGAACGCUGGCGGCGCGCCUAACACAUGCAAGUCGAGCGAGCGAGCCGAGCUUUACUUUCUCAAGCGAGUGGCGAACGGGUGAGUAACGCGUGAGGAACCUGCCUCAAAGAGGGGGACAACAGUUGGAAACGACUGCUAAUACCGCAUAAGCCCACGACCCGGCAUCGGGUAGAGGGAAAAGGGGCAAUCCGCUUUGAGAUGGCCUCGCGUCCGAGUAGCUAGGUGGUGAGGUAAUGGCCCACCAAGGCGACGAUCGGUAGCCGGACUGAGAGGUUGAACCGCCACAUUGGGACUGAGACACGGCCCAGACUCCUACGGGAGGCAGCAGUGGGGAAUAUUGCACAAUGGGGGAGACCCUGAGGCAGCGACGCCGCGUGGAGGAAGAAGGUCUUCGGAUUGUGCAGUCCUGUUGUUGGGGCAGAUAAUGACGGUACUCAACAAGGAAGCAACGGCUAACUACGUG